AGCGAACGCUGGCGGCAGGCCUAACACAUGCAAGUCGAACGGACCCUUCGGGGUUAGUGGCGGACGGGUGAGUAACACGUGGGAACGUGCCUUUAGGUUCGGAAUAGCUCCUGGAAACGGGUGGUAAUGCCGAAUGUGCCCUUCGGGGGAAAGAUUUAUCGCCUUUAGGGCGGCCCGCGUCUGAUUAGCUAGUUGGUGAGGUAACGGCUCACCAAGGCGACGAUCAGUAGCUGGUCUGAGAGGAUGACCCGCCACACUGGGACUGGGACCCGGCCCGGACUCCUGGGGGGGGGCGCAGGGGGGAUUCUGGCGCAACGGGCGAAAGCCUGAGGCCGCCUGGCCGGGAAAAUGAUGAGGGUCUAAGGAUUAUAAAAUUUUUUCCCCGGGGACGUUAUGACGGGACCCCGGGAAAAAGCCCCGGCCAACUUUGGG
This 432-nucleotide ribosomal RNA is filed under the name uncultured bacterium. Its description in RNAcentral is "partial 16S ribosomal RNA". It matches the Rfam family "Bacterial small subunit ribosomal RNA", at positions 28 to 507 of the family's 1533-position model. The record is from RNAcentral.